CUACAGAGGGUGCAAGCGUUAUUCGGAAUUACUGGGCGUAAAGCGCGCGUAGGCGGAUGAUUAAGUCAGUUGUGAAAGCCCUGGGCUCAACCUAGGAACUGCAUCUGAUACUGGUCGUCUAGAGUUUAAGAGAGGGAAGUGGAAUUCCAGGUGUAGCAGCGAAAUGCGUAGAUAUCUGGAGGAACAUCAGUGGCGAAGGCGACUUCCUGGCUUAAAACUGACGCUGAGGUGCGAAAGCGUGGGUAGCGAACGGGAUUAGAAACCCCAGUAGUCC
This 274-nucleotide ribosomal RNA is filed under the name uncultured bacterium. RNAcentral describes it as "partial 16S ribosomal RNA". It matches the Rfam family "Bacterial small subunit ribosomal RNA", at positions 523 to 796 of the family's 1533-position model. The record is from RNAcentral.